CUCCCCGUAGUCUAAUGGAUAGAACUGGGGUUUCCUAAACCCCCAAUGCAGGUUCGAUUCCUGCCGGGGAGA
Molecule: transfer RNA, 72 nt
Filed under: Candidatus Jorgensenbacteria bacterium GWA1_54_12
Lineage: Bacteria; Candidatus Joergenseniibacteriota
Description: tRNA-Arg
Rfam family: tRNA
About the family: Transfer RNA (tRNA) molecules are approximately 80 nucleotides in length.
Source: RNAcentral